Erinaceus europaeus (western European hedgehog) is the source of this 135-nucleotide small nucleolar RNA. The record is from Ensembl. NCBI's taxonomy places the organism in Eukaryota, Metazoa, Chordata, Mammalia, Eulipotyphla, Erinaceidae.
UUUCCCUGUCCUGAGUAGAGUGGCCAUUGGCUAGUGGUGCCCAUCUCUUAUCAGCCAGGAACAAAGCAACUCCUUGUUCAUCCUAACUUGCCUUUUGAUCUGUGUCCAUGCCUGGUUCAUGCUGUAGGUAUACAG